AUGAGGCCUUCUUGUUUUAUGGUUUCCAUCAUUGCCUUAGUGUGGAUACGAGGAGUCUCUCCCAGUAAAGAAAAACAAGUGUUUCAGACUCCUCCUGCACUCCUAAUGAAAGAAAACGGUGAAGUCAACAUGAGCUGCUCACAUAAUAUCUCCACGUACGACACCAUCCUCUGGUAUCACCGCUCGGUAGGAGACACUGCCCUGACGCUGGUCGCCUACAUGAAUUAUAAAUCACCAAACGUCGAGGAACGGUUCAAGAGCCACUUUGUCGUGAGCGGAGACGGAGAGAAAGAAGUUCAUCUCCACAUCAGGGACCUGAAACCUGAACACGGUGGAGAGUAUUUGGCAGCAGCUUGGAGGCACGGUUACAGAAACAGUGACUCCCUCAUACAAAAACUCUGA
Molecule: non-coding RNA, 402 nt
Organism: Notolabrus celidotus (New Zealand spotty)
Lineage: Eukaryota; Metazoa; Chordata; Actinopteri; Labriformes; Labridae
Source: the annotation of a RefSeq genome assembly